This 468-nucleotide ribosomal RNA is filed under the name uncultured bacterium. RNAcentral's name for it is "partial 16S ribosomal RNA". It matches the Rfam family "Bacterial small subunit ribosomal RNA", at positions 28 to 507 of the family's 1533-position model. The record is from RNAcentral.
GAUGAACGCUGGCGGCGUGCUUAACACAUGCAAGUCGAACGGAAAGGCCCUGCUUUUGUGGGGUGCUCGAGUGGCGAACGGGUGAGUAACACGUGAGUAACCUGCCCUUGACUUUGUGAUAACUUCAGGAAACUGGGGCUAAUACCGGAUAUGAGCUCCUGCUGCAUGGUGGGGGUUGGAAAGUUUCGGCGUUUGUGGAUGGACUCGCGGCUUAUGAGCUUGUUGGUGGGGUAGUGGCUUACCAGGGCUUUGACGGGUAGCCGGCCUGAGAGGGUGACCGGCGACAUUGGGACUGAGAUACGGCCCAGACUCCUACGGGAGGCAGCAGUGGGGAAUAUUGCACAAUGGGCGGAAGCCUGAUGCAGCAACGCCGCGUGCGGGAUGACGGCCUUUGGGUUGUAAACCGCUUUCGCCUGUGACGAAGCGUGAGUGACGGUAAUGGGUAAAGAAGCACCGGCUAACUACGUG